RNAcentral lists this long non-coding RNA (429 nucleotides) under Eucalyptus grandis. RNAcentral's name for it is "long non-coding RNA (EGRA_LNC002385)". The record is from RNAcentral. Lineage: Eukaryota; Viridiplantae; Streptophyta; Magnoliopsida; Myrtales; Myrtaceae.
AUCGUGUUACCUAUUUUAUACUAGAUCCAGGGCAUUGUAUUUUAUUUCCUUCACCAUCCCUAUUUAUGUCUCUUGGAUGCAGAUUCAUUGUACGCAUUGAUUUACUUAUUUGCUGUCUCCAACACAAGAUCAAAACACGAGUCUCUCUUCUUGAUUUUACAGCUUACCCAAUCACUCCUCAAGAUCCCAACACCGAUCUCUCUUCUUCUCCCCAUCUUUCUCCCCCCUUAUCGAGCCCCCACAACCACACGUGGCUUGUGUCAUUGACAUGCCUCUGGUGCCACCAUCAAUCUUGACUUUCCUCGCUCCGCCAUUCAAUGCCGGUGCCUAUGAAGGGUCAUGUCAUGCUCCAUUCACUCUCUCUCCCCUAUCACUUCAAUGUCAGUCGUCAUCCCUGCUUUCGUGUAGCUAUCUCUCUCCCUCUCUUGG